This 64-nucleotide transfer RNA is filed under the name Rhabdoblatta saussurei. RNAcentral's name for it is "tRNA-Glu". The record is from RNAcentral. Lineage: Eukaryota; Metazoa; Arthropoda; Insecta; Blattodea; Blaberidae.
GUUUAUGUAGUUUAUUUAAAACAUUACACUUUCACUGUAAAAAUAUUAUUUUUAAUCAUAAAAA